RNAcentral lists this non-coding RNA (840 nucleotides) under Portunus trituberculatus (swimming crab). The record is from RNAcentral. Lineage: Eukaryota; Metazoa; Arthropoda; Malacostraca; Decapoda; Portunidae.
GAAAAGUUUGAUUGUUUCUUAAUUCCUUGCGUUUAUAUUAAGUUUGUAUGAGAGUUGUUGCGUGUAGUAGCCCGAUGUUUAAGAUCUAUGGGCUUCAAAAAUAUAGUCAGAGGGACUAUGAAGUUAAAUUCUCAGCAUAUGAAAUUAGAUAAUUUAAUAAAGUUAAGAUCUAGUAGUAUAUUAAAACCUGAUUAAUAUUGUGCCAGCAGUCGCGGUUAUACUUUAAGGUUGAGUAAGGGUAAAUCGGUUAAUUGUUAGACGACAAAUGUAAUUUAUAUUAUAAAGCCUAAAAGAAUAAAAAAGUGAAAUUAGAAUAUCUUCAGGAGGUCAAUAUUAAUAUUAAUAUUAGUCGAAGCAAAAAAAUACUGGAGUUAAACUAGGAUUAGAUACCCUAUUAUACCAGAAAGUAAUCAUAGUAUACCUGAGUAGUAACAGUUAUGUUCUAAAAAUUUGAAAAAUUUGGCGGUGGUUUAGUCUUGUCAGAGGAACCUGUCUUUUAAACGAUACACCACGAAAUAUCUUACUUAAGUUUGUAGAGUAUGUAUACCAUCAUUAUUAGGUAAUUUUUAUAGAAUAAAUUACUGGGACAAUAUAAUAAUGUUAAAUAUAUUAGAUCAAGGUGCAGCUUAUGCUUAAGUUAUGAUGGGUUACAAUAGUAUUUAUACUAUUACGAAUAAGCAAAUGAAAUUUUGCUUUGAAGGAGGAUUUGAUUGUAAAUUUAGUUUAAUAAGCUAAUUAGAUAUAAGCUCUAAAGCAUGUACAUAUCGCCCGUCGCUUUCAUUACUAAGAUGAGAUAAGUCGUAACAUAGUAGGCUUACUGGAAAGUAAGCCUGGAAAGAA